This 21-nucleotide unclassified non-coding RNA is filed under the name Chlamydomonas reinhardtii. RNAcentral's name for it is "small RNA Cre_4114". Lineage: Eukaryota; Viridiplantae; Chlorophyta; Chlorophyceae; Chlamydomonadales; Chlamydomonadaceae. The record is from RNAcentral.
UUUCCGUUGGCGGCGUAACCG